This 3530-nucleotide long non-coding RNA is filed under the name Pomacea canaliculata. RNAcentral's name for it is "uncharacterized LOC112568823, transcript variant X4". Lineage: Eukaryota; Metazoa; Mollusca; Gastropoda; Architaenioglossa; Ampullariidae. The record is from RNAcentral.
ACAACCUUUCGUGCAUGACAGAGAGAAAGAAAGAAGGGAUAGCGAGAGAAAUAAUCACAACUGAAGCAUCAAGUCGCUGUUGACAAUGACAUCAGGUCUAAUCUCGGGACUUGCGAACCCCGUGACAUUUAGUGUUUGCUGGUUCUGUGUGAUAUUCACACUAUGAGAAGAUGUAAAACGGUGACAAUCAAUAUCAUCUUUGAGGAAACCGUUGCACACAUGAUGACGUGUUACAGGUGCCCAGUUCUUGCCAGUCGGGACAACGCCCUCCAGCGGGACGUGACACAGCAACACCUGGCAUGUAUACUGAGCUGUGGCUAUUACACGUUUUCCACCAGUACUGCUGACAAAACUGAAUCAGGUAAAACCAGGGUUUAUGACACGUCAUUGGCAGGUGAGCACGAAGAGGGCGUUUUAUGACCAUCGGAAGAAGUCUCUUCUAAACCGAUCUCCAGUCCUAGUGAGCUUGUCCUUCUCAACACAUUUUGAACACAGCAUUCUGCAAACCUUGGAGUGUGGUGGAAAGUAUCGUUUCAAGAAAGCUACCAGAAGAAAAGUCGCUUGAAUUGGCCGGCUGCUUUGCCUUUAUAUUAUAGUCAUCGCUGCUGAUUCGGCGUGAAGCAUACUUCCUGUCAUGACACCUGAUGUUCCGCAACGGGGACACGACGUUUCCAGUGAAGCCGCCAAGUGAUGCAUUUUGAUAUAUAUUGAUAGAUAUUGAUAUUAGCCUUCACUUGAGACGAGACUCUCAUAGCAGACAUAAACCUCUUGUAACUAUACUUCUUCACAACUGCAUGCUUUAAACAGAUAUAUCACCUUUUGUUGACAUUAUCAUCUGUGAAAUAUAUACACCGUAACUUAAUCUUAAAAUCACUUACUUUACUAUGGUAUCAUGUCAGUAGCAAUGUUACACUGAAGAGCAAAGUACUCGUUAGGGGUGUUUUCUAUCUGUAGCUGAGAUUGUCAUACUCAAGACAAAUAAGAAUUGUGUGCUUUCAUAAGUCAAGAAGAGUUAUCUAUUACUUUGCCAUACUUCCUGCUUUGUCAUAAUGGGGUUUGUUCUCAAAUUACUAGGAAAACCAUUAUGCACAAAAGAAAAAAAAAAAAGACAGGUGAAUGUGAUGAGGAAAGUUUAUGCAAGAUGGAGACUUCGAAUUACUGUUCAUGGCUUUUCCAGGUGAAACAAAGUUCCACAAGCAUGGAAUGACAACAAUCAUAUUUGACCAAAACAACUCAGGAAAGAACCAGAAAGUGUGGAGCUGACAGGAGGCGGUGGUGAGCAGGCAGUAGCAAGGCCGAUAUGGAGUCACAUUCAGGGAAGAAAAAGAAAAAAAAGUACCCAAGUCGAGAUCCCACUGCGAUGACCCACAAUGACCCACUACGACAUGAACUGCACAGCUCCGACGCUACUUCACAACCCAGUGCAGUGAACAUCCGAGCUGCUCGCUGACGGGUGCGCGGACUAACGUCUCUCCUGAAUAAUGAGAACUGCAUGUCAAGCUUAAUUUUAAAUCUGUACUUUCCUUACCAAUACGACUAACUUGUUUACAUCUCAGACCGGAAGAAAGAAACGAAAGCAACACGGUGCACAAAUGAAUGAGUGUAAACAUGCUCCCCUGUGAAAAAUUGGUCCGACCUCCCUCCCCUCUGUUUAAUAGCCUCGACCAACCUAUGACAUAAUCCGUUCUAAGAAACAAAAUAGUGCCUGACAUUACCAAUUAAUUUGUUUACAAAACAAUUGUCAAAUUAGAAAACUUACUAACAAAUUCGUUAUUUACAAGCUUGAACAAAUACUAAUAAUCGCAACAUCUUUUUGUGAGCCUGUGCUCAAUGUAUCUUCAUAUGGCAUGAAAGUCGACCACUUCCAACUUGUUUUCAAUAUGUUAAUUUCUUUCUCCUUAAAAAUUUGUAGUUGUUGACAAUAUUAAUUAAAUCGUUUAAGUACAUUAAUUAUAUAAUCGUUUUUAUAUGAAGCAUUGUUAACUGUAGCUGAUGCUCAAUCGGUAACAAUAGUUUGUGGCUGGCUGGCUGGUCGAGGGUGAAAGUGUCUCUCGGUUCACGGACGUAAAUAGAUGAUAGAGCACGAUGUGGUGUACGUGUUAAUCAAAAUUUCUCGUGUUUAGUCGGAAUAUUUACAUGUUACAAUGGUUCAGACUGAUCUUCUUCUGGUGAUCCUCUUGUUUCCAGGAGUGAACCUUAUUGGAGUGGAGUUUACUUGUCCAACAUUCAGAGAUGGUCACAACAUUGUCAGCUGCAAGAUUAACAAAACAGCUGUUGAGGCUGCGGACUGCAAAUCGUUACAAAAUUAUGUGACACUGGCAAAGACAACAUCUUCUCGUCCAAAUCCACGUGUGAUAGGUUUCACUGAACCAUUUAAUCUGUCAAAUUGCAAACCAGUUCAAGAGCCUGUAGCAAACAGCUGCUGGUGUAAUGAAUCAAAUGGAAAAAUCUUUGAUUACAUGUGUGACUUUGUGGCCAACCGCAGUAAAGAUAUCGAUGCAAUGCUUGAAUGCAAGAUUUGCAUUAAACCAAAUAAUUCUUUAGACGUGAAAAUACACGAUAACUGCAAACGUAUGCGCUUUGGUGGCAGUUCAGAUGUCGGACCAAGUUCGGAUGGUAGUUUGAACGUCGGUCUCAUUGUGGGUGCCAUUCUAGCAGUAGCAGCAGCAGCAGCAAUUUUGUCCUAAUAGCUGUCAUCGUUGUUUUGAAAAGACAUCAUUGUCAAAUGUGAAGCAAGUAUACCAGGGCACUUUUCAUAAGAACCUAGCGACUUGAAAGUUGGCUACAAGCUGUUGAAGACAGAUCAGGAAACUGUGUGCGUGCUUUCUCACGUGCGUGCGUGUGUGUGUGUGUGUAAUAUCCUUACGUGGGUGUACAUUGGUGUACUUUUAUUUCUAUUAGAUUUUUUCGGCUCGUUAGUAUUGUCUGCGCUCAUAUGUUUAUGGACAUAUAAACUGUGCAUGUGCAGGUAUGUUUUGCUGGCUCUUACCGAUCGGAACCUUUGCCUCAAUCCCCUACGUGACAGUACAUAAGUCAGCAUUUAAUUUAGUCGCCUGGGUCACUAGAAAAUGUAAUAAUAAGUUAUUUCGAUGAGACACAUACAGUUCACAUCUUUACAAUUAAUAUCCGUUCCCAAACUAAGAAGUCGUCAAUCAAUCUUUCGACAGUACUACAGGCAUGGACUUACGUACCUAACGAACGAUCACGCUACCCUUCACAUGUAUGCAUAACUGGUGAUGCUGAUAACGAUGACCGAAAAUAAAAAUAGUGAACAAUUAUUGCUCAAAGAAAAAAGUUUGUUUUUUUUGCUCGUUUAGCAGGAAUUUAUGCACGAGAGUAGAAGUAGCUCAGUAACCACCCACGUUCCUGAACAAGACGUCCGGUUUGUUGAAGUAGAGAGUGCACCAGAUGAGAAGCACACAUUGAAGUGUAAAAUCACAGCCAGUCAUUCUUAAGAAGCCCAGAAUUGUUUCCAACCCUUGGUAUUCUUGCCGAUAUUUUUUUCCCGACACAACUGGUGUGACUAAAAU